AGUCGAACGCGAAAGGGUAGCAAUACCCGAGUAAAGUGGCGAACGGGUGAGUAACGCGUAGGAAACCUGCCUUCGAGUGGGGGAUAACAUUCCUAACGGGGUGCUAAUACCGCAUGAAACUGCGGGAUCGCAUGGUUCUGCAGUCAAAGGUGGCCUCUGCUUGCAAGCUACCGCUCAAAGAUGGUCCUGCGUCCCAUUAGCUAGUUGGCGGGGUAAUGGCCCACCAAGGCGACGAUGGGUAGCCGAUCUGAGAGGAUGACCGGCCACACUGGGACUGAGAUACGGCCCAGACUCCUACGGGAGGCAGCAGUCGAGAGGCUUCGGCAAUGGGGGAAACCCUGACCGAGCGACGCCGCGUGGAGGAUGAAGGCCUUUGGGUUGUAAACUCCUGUCAUGUGGGAAGAAACGCCACCGUACUAAUAGCACGGUGGUUUGACGGUACCACAAGAGGAAGCUCCGGCUAACUCCGUGCCAGCAGCCGCGGUAAUACGGGGGGAGCAAACGUUGUUCGGAAUCACUGGGCGUAAAG
This 529-nucleotide ribosomal RNA is filed under the name Candidatus Eiseniibacteriota bacterium. RNAcentral describes it as "bacterial SSU rRNA". It matches the Rfam family "Bacterial small subunit ribosomal RNA", at positions 60 to 565 of the family's 1533-position model. The record is from RNAcentral. Lineage: Bacteria; Candidatus Eiseniibacteriota.